Non-coding RNA from Podarcis lilfordi (Lilford's wall lizard), 75 nucleotides. The record is from the annotation of a GenBank genome assembly. Lineage: Eukaryota; Metazoa; Chordata; Lepidosauria; Squamata; Lacertidae.
GGAAGGGCUGUAGCUCAGUGGUAUAGCAUCUCACUUGCUUUCAGAAGGUCCCUGGUUCAGUUCUUGGUAUUUCCA